Long non-coding RNA from Orcinus orca (killer whale), 848 nucleotides. RefSeq lists it as uncharacterized. The transcript is spliced from 3 exons. The record is from RefSeq and is a predicted model, not a curated record. NCBI's taxonomy places the organism in Eukaryota, Metazoa, Chordata, Mammalia, Artiodactyla, Delphinidae.
ACCUGGCACAUCAGCAGGCGGGGGGGGGGGGGGGGCGGGCGGGGGCUGAGCCCUGUGUUCCACAAGGCCUGCCCGCAGGUCGCACUGCCCGCUACCCAGGAUGGGAUGCAGGAGCCUGGCCGUGGGUCACUGUGGGUGCCCCAGCCAGUCACCUUAGCCCCCUGAGCACCAGAUUCCCCAGCGAAAUGGACAAGCAUAAUCAUCAUCGCUUCCACUUACAGAUCACUCAUUAAGUGCCAGGCACUUUAUCCUCCUCAUCUCUCAUGUUCCUCCCAAAGCUCUACAGAGGAGGGCCUACUGAUAUCCCCGGGGUACAGAGGGGAAACUGAGGCACAGCGAAAGGAAAGUGACCGAGGCCCAAGGUCACACUAGUAACAACGUCUACUGUUUUGUCACCUUCCUCCUUCACGUGUUGAGCUGAGCUCCUACCAUACCACUCACGCUGUCCCACUUCAGAGUGGGCCGGUCCCCGAGGCUGCGGUAGAUGACGGCGUCGAUGGCUAGGAAGUCGGUAACGGUGGCUGUGAAGAGCAUCCCUUCUGGAUGGGGGUGAGUCAGGGGGAGGCAGGUGAGAGAUUAGAUCAUAGAGGCCGGAGGCUGGGUGGGUCAAAGCUUGACUUCAAGACUGAGCCCUGAGCCUAAGUGAGCCCUAAGCCCCAGGCUGAUCCCCAACUCCUCAGCUCAUCCCCAACCUCGGCUGAGCCCUGCCCUUGAGAUUCUGCCUGUUUCAUAGCUGGAGAGAUGGUCUCCCAGCCAUCUUCUAAAUGACCUGACCCCAAGAGUGGAAAAUGCCAUGUCUUGCUGUGGACUGGGGCCCCAUCAGAUGGUCAGAGUUGGGGGCACUCACC